RNAcentral lists this small nuclear RNA (356 nucleotides) under Chinchilla lanigera (long-tailed chinchilla). RNAcentral's name for it is "7SK RNA (ENSCLAG00000021851.1)". The stretch from base 1 to 310 matches the Rfam family "7SK RNA". From Rfam's summary of the family: 7SK was discovered as an abundant small nuclear RNA in the mid-70s but a possible function has only recently been suggested. The record is from Rfam by way of RNAcentral. Lineage: Eukaryota; Metazoa; Chordata; Mammalia; Rodentia; Chinchillidae.
GUAUGUGAGGGUGAUCUGGUUGUGACAUCUUUCAUGCCCCCAUUGAUUGCCAGGGUUGAUCCAGCUGAUCUGGCUGGCCAGGCACGUGUCUCCUGCUUCUCUCACCACUCCACGUGCGUCCCUCCCGAAGCUCCAUGCUUGGUCAGAGAGGUCAGCCAUCCCCAAUAGAGAGGGGUUUCCUUGGUCAAGGGUAUUCAAGUAGCUAUGCUCCCCUGCUAAAAGUCCAGACAAGCUCUUGACAAGUUUGUCCAUCACCACUGGCCUGAUAUUUUAUUUUUAGUGAUACUGUUAGGUCAGUUUUGCUCUUUAAAAGUCACCUAUUACAGAGCAGAUUCUACUUCUUGAUAAUCUACCUU